GUGGUGGAUUUGAUCGAUGGACAAGCUGACUGCUCCUCAUCAGUCUUGUUUGCAUAAUGUUCAAACUCUGGUUGCAGUUCUGGUCUUUGCAUAAUAUGCAGAUCUGGAGCUCCGGAUGAAAUGGAUCGGAGUUUCCUGAGCUGUCUGUGAAUUUUUAAAGUUGCAUGACUUUGCAGUAGUCAAGUGUUAUAAAUUUGAUGAAAUGGAUUGGAGAUUCCUGAAAUUUUAUUAUAAUUUGUCAAUUUAAUCAAACUUCAGUCAAAUAUCAAACAAAUUUGUCUCAAAUAUUAAACAUGAACCAAAUAUUACAAUUAAAUUAUUUGUUAAA
Molecule: long non-coding RNA, 328 nt
Filed under: Oryza brachyantha (malo sina)
Lineage: Eukaryota; Viridiplantae; Streptophyta; Magnoliopsida; Poales; Poaceae
Description: long non-coding RNA (OBRA_LNC001451)
Source: RNAcentral